AGAGAGUAGCUGUGGUCUCCUGCGUGCUCACCCUCUGCUCCCUUGGUCCUGCUCCAUGCUUUGGUCCUGCACUUAAAUUUUACAAGCAUACUCUCUUUCUCUUAAGGUAAGCAACCAUUUUAAAUCUCAGCGGUAAACAAAACAAAAAAUCACCAGGAAACUAUAUGAAAUCAGGUUUUUUUGUUUGUUUUUGGUUUUUGGUUUUGGUUUUGUUUUUUUGGUGGUAUUUUUUUUGUUUUUUUGUUUUUUGUUUUUUUGAGAUGGAGUCUUGCUGUGUCACCCAGGAUGGAGUGCAGUGGAGCCAUCUUGGCUCACUGCAACUUCCGCCUCCCAGGUUCAAGCAAUUCUCCUCUCUCAGCCUCCUGAGUAGCUGGGAUUACAGGCACCCACCACCAUGCCUGGCUAAUUUUUGUAUGUUUAGUAGAGAUGGGGUUUCACCAUGUUGGCCAAGCUGGCCUCAAACUCCUGACCUCAAGUGAUCUGCCUGCCUCAGCCUCCCAAGUGCUGGGAUUAUAGGUGUAAGUCACCACGCCUGGCAUCAAAGCAGGUUUUAACCAGCCUUUUUGUCCACUGAUAACAUAAAGGAGGUCAGCAGCAGCUAAGUCCUGUGCCAGAAGAGCUUUCUUGUCCUUUCACACUGCAAGAGAAAUAAUCACUUAGCUAAGAGGCCAAUUUUACCUUUUUUAAAAAAAAAUUUAAAAAUGAGGGCGGGUGCAGUGGCUCACUCCUGUAAUCCCAGCACUUUGGGAGGCCAAGACGGGCAGAUCACUUGAGGUCAGGAGUUCGAGACUAGCCUGGCCAACAUGGUGAAACCCCGUGUCUACUAAAAAUACAAAAAAAUUAGCCAGGUGUGGUGGCGGGCGCCUGUAAUCCCAGCUACUUGGGAGACUGAGGCAGGAGAUUCCCUUGAACCCAGGAGAUGGAGGCUGCAGUGAGCCAAGAGCACACCACUGUACUCCAGCCUGGGCAACAGAGCUGGACUCCGUCUCAAAAAAAAAAAAAAAUUUUUUUAAAUGAGAGCUAUAUCUUAUCAACAAAAUUAACUAUGUUCGUUUUUGGAGUUUUAUUUUUGUAGCAUUUACAGAAAUCUGUUAAGAGCUUCUUAAUUAUAAAAAUGAGUUAAUAACAUAUUUCUCAAAUUGACUUAUCAAUUCGUUGUCAUUGUGGACGAAAUUACUUUAUAAUCAAUUACCAUAAAGAAACCUGAUUUGAUUUCAGCUCACCCUCAAUAUUCAAGGCACUUGGAUUGUUGGUCUCCACCCAUUUAUUAUGUGGUCUACUAAAAAUAGACCACAUCCUAGGAGUUAGCAUUCCAAGAACAGUUUCCACUUAUUACUCACUUCUUGAUAUUUAUGGAACUGCUCAUUUCGCAAAUAUUUCAGCUCUACUCUCCAAUCUUUAGAAGAAAAAAGAAAAUAACAAUAACAACAAUAGAAUUUCAUUCUCUCCAGAGAGUUAGCAAGGAAAUGAGAGCGGAAAGAAAGCAAAUGGGAAGUUAGAAUUGGGGAAAAUGUAAAGCAAAGCCAAAUGUGAAUAGGAAUAGCAGUUGACAAGAGGGGAAAAGAGGGUGCAGAGGACAAAUAUACCAAUAGAAAACAUGUAAACUCAAUAGCAUGCAACCUUUUAAAAAAUAAAUGAUUUAAGUUCAUUUUGAUAGUGGAUAGGACAAGAAUAUUGGCACAUUAUGAAAAGAAACAUGACAAGGUCUUGAAUAAAUUUUAAUGAAAAUAUAUAAAUGGAUUACCCUCUAUUACAACACCAGAGGCCACAAAACUACAGGAAGCAAAUUCUUCACUAUAAGAUAUUCUUCACAGCCUCUUUUAAUCAUGUAUACAUCCUCAUUCUACAUUAACUUUCAUACACAAAAACAAAUUAGAAUGAAAUUCAUUUUUGUACUUACAACCUGACAUCCUUAGAAAUGUGAAUCUUAUGCCAACUUAGAGCAAAAAUCAAAAUUGGAAGACUAUAGUAUAAGAAAAGACCAUGGCCUGUAAUCCCAGCACUUUGGGAGGUAAGGCAGGCAAAUCAUGAGGUCAGGAGUUUGUGACCAGCCUGGGCAACAUGGUGAAACCCCAUCUCUAGUAAAAUACAAAAAAAAAAAUAAGCCAAGUGUGGCGGUGUGCGCCUGUAGUCCCAGCUACUCGGGAGGCUGAGGCAGGAGAAUUGCUUGAACCCAGGAGGCGGAGGUUGCAGUGAGCCAAGAUCGCGCCACUGCAGUCCAGCCUGGGCAACAGAGUGAGACUCCAUCUCAAAAAAGAAAAGAAAAGAGAAGACCAUGAGGGGGAAGAUCAAAUAGAGUUGUAGAGACUUCUGGUGUGGAUAUGCAGACAUGAUUUAAUCCAUAGUCUAUGGUAAUCACCAUCUGUAAGUGGAGACCCCAGCCUACUUGACUUGGUGGUAGAAAUUCUUUUCACUGGCAGCGGCUUUCAUUUCUUUUUCCUGGAAAUUUUAUCUUUCUUUUCUGUUAUAGAGUAAAAUGGAAGCCUGCUAGCAGAACACAUCUAUCCACAUGACUCUGACAUAGUAGCCUGCAUUUCCCACCUUAUACCACCUUCCUUUAUGGGAGUUAUUUUUCAUUGCAUUCUGAAGACAAAAGACCUUUGGUGAUAAUCAGUAAAGAUCCUAACUUGGUGGUAGACAGUUUUCUACGGAACAUGCAGUUCUGACUCCAAUAAGCCACAAGGCAGUUCAAACAAAACACUUGGCUGCCCUUUGGGAGGGACCUGGUGGGCACAUCUUUCUCUUUUCCUUCACAUCUCAUUGCCUGUUGUCACUCAUGGAAUAUGUGCAUGGCAGGAUCAAGACACCACCGUCUGGUGUUCCUGCCGGCAGGGAAAAUGUUGGAUUUUGAGCCUAGAUUCCCAAUUUAUGUUAUUUUAUACCCCUCUACCAUUAUCUUUGUUUUAUUGCCUGGGGGAAAGCAGUGUUCACUAAGGAGGAGGUGGUUAUUGCAACUAUUUGAAUGUAAUCUGGGGCCAUUAGGAAUUCAUCCAUCUGUCAAGCCUGUGGAAGGAAGGAAUAUGAAUGGAGUACUAGUUCUGAUAGUGAAGUGUGCCUUAGAACAGAUGUUUGAAUUGACAAGUCUUCUCAGUGGUGUAACAUAUACCAGGGUAGCACUGGUACCAAGUGAGAAUGGGGCUUUGUCUUUGUAGCCUUUUUUCCCUUGUGGUUUGUUGCAGUGGUUUGAAUGGCAUGGUUUUUUAUUUAUUUAUUUAUUUAUUUUAAAGAGAAUUUAGCAAUUUAUGCAAUUUUUCUAGAAUUGAAUAUUUUGUACUUUGAUAAUAGCUCAUUUAUGGAGGGAAA
This 3303-nucleotide long non-coding RNA is filed under the name Homo sapiens (human). RNAcentral describes it as "non-protein coding HDAC2-AS2:97". The record is from RNAcentral. Lineage: Eukaryota; Metazoa; Chordata; Mammalia; Primates; Hominidae.